Molecule: ribosomal RNA, 256 nt
Filed under: uncultured bacterium
Lineage: Bacteria
Description: partial 16S ribosomal RNA
Rfam family: Bacterial small subunit ribosomal RNA
Source: RNAcentral
UACGUAGGGUGCAAGCGUUUAAUCGGAAUUACUGGGCGUAAAGCGUGCGCAGGCGGUUUUGUAAGUCAGAUGUGAAAUCCCCGGGCUUAACCUGGGAACUGCGUUUUGAAACUACAAAGGCUAGAGUGUGGCAGAGGGGGGUGGAAUUCCACGUGUAGCAGUGAAAUGCGUAGAGAUGUGGAGGAAUACCGAUGGCGAAGGCAGCCCCCUGGGAUAACACUGACGCUCAUGCACGAAAGCGUGGGGAGCAAACAGG